GGUCCUGGUCCCAGAAUGGUGCCCUAGGGGCUACGAUAAGAUAAAUAAUGAAUAAUAAUACAGUUGGACACUCUUGCCAUGCACAUAAUUUGUUGGAGCUAAAUUCUCUGCUAGUGUAAACUUGCACAGUUCCACUGCCUGUCAUGGAGCUUCAGCAAUUCAUGCCUGCAAAGAAUUUGGCCCUUGGUCUUUAGUGUUUUACUAGCUUCCCUGACACUACUUAAAUAUGGUGCCACGGUACAGCUCCUGUUGUCUCCAGAACUCUGCUACAGGCUGGCUGGGCAUUAGUACUUCAAGCACUAGCCCACAGGGUUCACUCUUUAUUACCUUAUCAAAUGAACAAAAUUUCCAUAAUAAGUCUUCCUGUACUGCAGAUAAAAUAGCAAACAAACAUUUGGGUGAGUUAAAAAAAAAAGCUGACUAAAUGCAGGAAGAUCCUUCUUGUUAUUCUACCAAUAUUGCUUCCUUUGCUUAUUAGUAGCCCAAAGGAAAUGCUAGUUCAGAAGGAGCCAGGGGAGCAGUUAGCAGCUUCUUGCUAGAUCUUCAGUAUCUCUGCUGCACAGGCUAGAAGAUGCUGUAAGAAUGUGUGACUCAUACAGCUCAUCAUGAUUGAAAACUCCUCUGAUGCCAGUAGAAAUAGGAUGUGGUAUGGCUUCAGCCAAUAAUUCAGAAUCGUCAGAGAGUGACACGGCAUCAAAAGCAACACUAAAUGUACUGAUCCUCUUCUUCGCCUGGGCUAUGUGAGUUGCAACUACCUUUAAGCAAGUUUCUGAGCUUUUCUUACUUGUUUCCAGUGAACAUGCUUCUUCCUUUACCCAGACUGACAAAGUAGCAAAAAUGAGACAGCAUCACGCUCUGCUGGCUCAGCUGCAAUUUACAUGGUGCUGUCGGCCUAUUUCCUUGCUUGAUGCUUGAGUGUGACUGAUGAUACAAGUCUCAACACAGAGCUGGGAACAGCAUCAGAUCACCAAGUAAGAGAAGCUUCCACAAGGAGCCCUAGUAACUCAAUGCUAUAAAAUGCAGCAAUGAUUCCAGUCUUAAGGUUAUCUGGCAAUGUACAAAAGAAAGGAAGAUGCUGAAGAAUUUCUCACAAUGACAAUCCCUGCCCCAAGGAGUUUAUGAAAAUACUACUAUGGUCACUGCAUUCUAAUUAAGAUUGGUCUCUGCUAGAUUUUUUAAAUCUGGACUCUGGCUCUUCUAAAUAAAGUUCUGCAUAACAAUCA
This is a long non-coding RNA of Gopherus flavomarginatus (Mexican gopher tortoise), 1223 nucleotides long. RefSeq lists it as uncharacterized. The transcript is spliced from 5 exons. NCBI's taxonomy places the organism in Eukaryota, Metazoa, Chordata, Testudines, Testudinidae. The record is from RefSeq and is a predicted model, not a curated record.